RNAcentral lists this long non-coding RNA (433 nucleotides) under Daucus carota (carrot). RNAcentral's name for it is "long non-coding RNA (DCAR_LNC002052)". The record is from RNAcentral. Lineage: Eukaryota; Viridiplantae; Streptophyta; Magnoliopsida; Apiales; Apiaceae.
CGCACAAUCUGCUUUCAAAUUGAUUGAGAUCAUCUUGCUGUGCAAUCACUCAAUCUGGAUCCCUUUAAGAGCUUCCGAAUCUUCCUCAAGUUUCACUUCAGAUUGAAACCUAAAGAAACAACAUUCUUUGACAAUAGCUCUCCUAGUCUUCACUUCACCAUUAGGAACAUUUAAGAACUAGAACCCGGGAAUGAUAUUGACUCCAAACCCUUUGUCUAAGCAGAUACGUUCUUUAUAUGUCCUGUUCAUCUUGUGUAGUGUUGAGUUUGACUAGUGGAUCUACCAAAUGCUCCCCCUAAGCUGUUGCUGAGAUUUCUUUAAUAAUCCUUAUCCUUGCAAAGAGAUUCUGCUUGGAUCUGAAUUAUCAUUAUACCAAUAAUAUCACCUUUAACAGCUUGGAGCAAAGUGUCGCUCAACGUCCCAUCCAGACUUA